RNAcentral lists this transfer RNA (86 nucleotides) under Hadesarchaea archaeon. RNAcentral's name for it is "tRNA-Ser". It matches the Rfam family "tRNA". From Rfam's summary of the family: Transfer RNA (tRNA) molecules are approximately 80 nucleotides in length. Their secondary structure includes four short double-helical elements and three loops (D, anti-codon, and T loops). The record is from RNAcentral. Lineage: Archaea; Methanobacteriati; Hadarchaeota (SeqCode); Hadarchaeia (SeqCode).
GCCGGGGUGGCGGAACCUGGUUAUCGCGCCGGCCUUGAGAGCCGGUGGCCCUCUGGGCCUUCUGGGUUCAAAUCCCAGCCCCGGCG